GCUGCCCUUAGAUGUGUCGCAGGUGUGGCUGCUGUGUCACAUGUAUGUCAGUAGGUGGCAGAGAGGAUAGAGGCUAUGCCUACGCUCAGUGUUCUGAGCUAUGACAUCUGAAUGAUUAGUAGUUUAACACU
Mus spicilegus (steppe mouse) is the source of this 131-nucleotide small nucleolar RNA. The record is from Ensembl. NCBI's taxonomy places the organism in Eukaryota, Metazoa, Chordata, Mammalia, Rodentia, Muridae.